UUGGGUGGGAUACUAUGGGUUGACGACGUGCUGGUUGACAGAGCGCGCGUACGGUUGGAUAAUUGAUGGUAGUUUGCCGGGCUUUGUGGGAUAACUGGGGGACGCUUGCUAAUACCGCAUCCGUCCUACGGGAGAAAGCAGGGCGAUCUUCAGACCUUGCGCUAUCGGAUGAGCCUAUGUCGGAUUAGCUUGUUGGUGAGGUAACGGCUCACCAAGGCGAAGAUCCGUAGCUGGUCUGAGAGGAUGAUCAGCCACAUCGGGACUGAGACACGGCCCGAACUCCUACGGGAGGCAGCAGUGGGGAAUAUUGGACAAUGGGCGGAAGCCUGAUCCAGCCAUGCCGCGUGUGUGAAGAAGGCUUUCGGGUUGUAAAGCACUUUCAGUGAGGAAGAAGGCUUCGGGGCCAAUACCCUCGAGGAAGGACAUCACUCACAGAAGAAGCACCGGCUAACUCCGUGCCAGCAGCCGCGGUAAUACGGAGGGUGCAAGCGUUAAUCRGAAUUACUGGGCGKAAARCGCGCGYAGGCGGCGUGAUAAGCCGGUUGUGAAAGCCCCGGGCUCAACCUGGGAACGGCAUCCGGAACUGUCAGGCUAGAGUGCAGGAGAGGAAGGUAGAAUUCCCGGUGUAGCGGUGAAAUGCGUAGAGAUCGGGAGGAAUACCAGUGGCGAAGGCGGCCUUCUGGACUGACACUGACGCUGAGGUGCGAAAGCGUGGGUAGCAAACAGGAUUAGAUACCCUGGUAGUCCACGCCGUAAACGAUGUCGACUAGCCGUUGGGGUCCUAGAGACCUUUGUGGCGCAGUUAACGCGAUAAGUCGACCGCCUGGGGAGUACGGCCGCAAGGUUAAAACUCAAAUGAAUUGACGGGGGCCCGCACAAGCGGUGGAGCAUGUGGUUUAAUUCGAUGCAACGCGAAGAACCUUACCUACCCUUGACAUCGUGCGAACUUGGUAGAGAUACCUUGGUGCCUUCGGGAGCGCACAGACAGGUGCUGCAUGGCUGUCGUCAGCUCGUGUUGUGAAAUGUUGGGUUAAGUCCCGUAACGAGCGCAACCCUUGUCCCUAUUUGCCAGCGAUUCGGUCGGGAACUCUAGGGAGACUGCCGGUGACAAACCGGAGGAAGGUGGGGACGACGUCAAGUCAUCAUGGCCUUUAUGGGUAGGGCUACACACGUGCUUCAAUGGCCGGUACAAAGGGUGGCGAAUCCGCGAGGUGGAGCUAAUCCCGAAAAGCCGGUGUCAGUCAGGAUCGGAGUCUGCAACUAGAGCUCCGUGAGAGUCGGAAUCGGUAGUAUUCGUGCAUCGCGAAAGCCACGGUGAAUCCGCUCCGGGGCCUUGAACACACCACCCGAACAGACCGGACGUUACUGCACCAGAAGAGCAACCUAUUUCGCAGGACCGUAUCUACAGGAUACGUGUUAC
This 1420-nucleotide ribosomal RNA is filed under the name Halomonas sp. RNAcentral describes it as "bacterial SSU rRNA". It matches the Rfam family "Bacterial small subunit ribosomal RNA". Lineage: Bacteria; Pseudomonadati; Pseudomonadota; Gammaproteobacteria; Oceanospirillales; Halomonadaceae. The record is from RNAcentral.